CCCAGGAGUAGGCAACUGCCUAGGCUGUCUUGUACCUAGGCAAGUGUUACACUGCUGGGGAAAAGCAGCUAAUAGCUGGCAGGCAUUCUGGGUCUGGUUAAUGCCAAAUUUGUGCUAACUAUACCCAUGUGCCAGCAUAGUUGCCUAUUCUAUUUACUUUAAGGUAUGUGGGGAAGGCAGGGACUGC
This is a small nucleolar RNA of Ochotona princeps (American pika), 187 nucleotides long. Its record names the gene SNORA74. It matches the Rfam family "Small nucleolar RNA SNORA74". Rfam says of the family: U19 belongs to the H/ACA class of snoRNAs. snoRNAs bind a number of proteins (including dyskerin, Gar1p and Nop10p in the case of the H/ACA class) to form snoRNP complexes. This class are thought to guide the sites of modification of uridines to pseudouridines by forming direct base pairing interactions with substrate RNAs. The record is from Ensembl. NCBI's taxonomy places the organism in Eukaryota, Metazoa, Chordata, Mammalia, Lagomorpha, Ochotonidae.